RNAcentral lists this ribosomal RNA (198 nucleotides) under uncultured Bacillus sp. Its description in RNAcentral is "partial 16S ribosomal RNA". It matches the Rfam family "Bacterial small subunit ribosomal RNA", at positions 335 to 524 of the family's 1533-position model. The record is from RNAcentral. Lineage: Bacteria; Bacillati; Bacillota; Bacilli; Caryophanales; Bacillaceae.
ACUCCUACGGGAGGCAGCAGUAGGGAAUCGUCCGCAAUGGACGAAAGUGAGACGGAGCAACGCCGCGUGAGUGAUGAAGGCUUUCGGGUCGUAGAACUCUGUUGUUAGGGAAGACCAAGUGCUAGUUGGAUAAGCUGGCACUUUGACGGUACCUAACCAGAAAGCCACGGCUAACUACGUGCCAGCAGCCGCGGUAAU